UCGAAGGUAGCAUAAUCAGUAGUUUUUUAAUUGAAAACUUGUAUGAAUGGUUCAAUGAGAUAUUUUCUGUCUCAUAAAAAUUUUAAUAGAAUUUAAUUUUUUAGUUAAAAAGCUAAAAUAAUAUUAAAAGACGAGAAGACCCUAUAGAGUUUUAUAUAUUUUGUUUUAUAAUUUAUUUAUAAUAUUUAAAAUUUUAAUUUAAGUUAUAUUUUGUUGGGGUGACAAUAAAAUUUUAAAAUCUUUUAUUAAAUUUAAACAAUGAUUUUUGAUUAAUUGAUCCAUUUUUAGUGAUUAAAAGAUUAAAUUACCUUAGGGAUAACAGCGUAAUUUUUUUGAAGAGUUCAUAUCGAUAAAAAUUUUUGC
Molecule: ribosomal RNA, 363 nt
Filed under: Neoempheria lineola
Lineage: Eukaryota; Metazoa; Arthropoda; Insecta; Diptera; Mycetophilidae
Description: partial 16S ribosomal RNA
Source: RNAcentral